AUUGAACGCUGGCGGCAUGCUUUACACAUGCAAGUCGAACGGUAACAGGCCGCAAGGUGCUGACGAGUGGCGAACGGGUGAGUAAUGCAUCGGAACGUGCCCAGUCGUGGGGGAUAACGCAGCGAAAGCUGCGCUAAUACCGCAUACGAUCUAUGGAUGAAAGCGGGGGACCGCAAGGCCUCGCGCGAUUGGAGCGGCCGAUGUCAGAUUAGGUAGUUGGUGGGGUAAAGGCUCACCAAGCCAACGAUCUGUAGCUGGUCUGAGAGGACGACCAGCCACACGGGGACUGAGACACGGCCCAGACUCCUACGGGAGGCAGCAGUGGGGAAUUUUGGACAAUGGGCGCAAGCCUGAUCCAGCAAUGCCGCGUGCAGGAAGAAGGCCUUCGGGUUGUAAACUGCUUUUGUACGGAACGAAACGGUCCUGGUUAAUACCUGGGGCUAAUGACGGUACCGUAAGAAUAAGCACCGGCUAACUACGUGCCAGCAGCCGCCGUAA
This 498-nucleotide ribosomal RNA is filed under the name uncultured bacterium. RNAcentral describes it as "partial 16S ribosomal RNA". It matches the Rfam family "Bacterial small subunit ribosomal RNA", at positions 29 to 523 of the family's 1533-position model. The record is from RNAcentral.